Molecule: ribosomal RNA, 427 nt
Filed under: uncultured bacterium
Lineage: Bacteria
Description: bacterial SSU rRNA
Rfam family: Bacterial small subunit ribosomal RNA
Source: RNAcentral
UGGGGAAUUUUGUGCAAUGGGCGAAAGCCUGACACAGCGACACCGCGUGAGCGAAGAAGCCCUUUGGGGUGUAAAGCUCUGUCGGCUGGAACGAAAAAAAUGACGGUACCAGCAAAGGAAGCAUCGGCUAACUACGUGCCAGCAGCCGCGGUAAGACGUAGGAUGCAAGCGUUGUCCGGAUUCAUUGGGCGUAAAGCGUUCGUAGGCGGUUUGUCAAGUCUGAUGUUAAAUAUCGGGGCCCAACCCCGGGAGUGCAUUGGAAACUGGCAGACUGGAGUGCGGUAGAGGUAAGUGGAAUUUCCAGUGUAGCGGUGAAAUGCGUAGAUAUUGGAAAGAACACCAGUGGCGUAAGCGACUUACUGGGCCGUAACUGACGCUGAGGAACGAAAGCCAGGGGAGCAAAUGGGAUUAGAUACCCCCGUAGUCC